GAUGAAGAACGUAGCGAAAUGCGAUAAGUAAUGCGAAUUGCAGAAUUCAGUGAAUCAUCGAGUCUUUGAACGCACAUUGCGCCCUCUGGUAUUCCGGAGGGCAUGCCUGUCCGAGCGUCAUUGCUGCCCUCCAGCCCGGCUGGUGUGUUGGGCCCCGUCCCCCUUCCCGGGGGGACGGGCCCGAAAGGCAGCGGCGGCACCGCGUCCGGUCCUCGAGCGUAUGGGGCUUUGUCACCCGCUCUUGUAGGCCCGGCCGGCGCCAGCCGACCCCCUCAAUCUAUUUUUCAGGUUGACCUCGGAUCAGGUAGGGAUACCCGCUGAACUUAAGCAUAUCAAUAAGCGGAGGA
This 347-nucleotide unclassified non-coding RNA is filed under the name soil metagenome. RNAcentral describes it as "partial contains 5.8S ribosomal RNA, internal transcribed spacer 2, and large subunit ribosomal RNA". The stretch from base 1 to 120 matches the Rfam family "5.8S ribosomal RNA", at positions 35 to 154 of the family's 154-position model. The record is from RNAcentral.